GUAGGGAAUAUUGGGCAAUGGGCGCAAGCCUGACCCAGCCAUGCCGCGUGCAGGAUGACAGCCCUAUGGGUUGUAAACUGCUUUUAUCAGGGAAGAAACCCCCGCACUUGUGCGGGGCUGACGGUACCUGAAGAAUAAGCACCGGCUAACUCCGUGCCAGCAGCCGCGGUAAUACGGAGGGUGCAAGCGUUAUCCGGAUUUACUGGGUUUAAAGGGUGCGUAGGCGGGAUAGUCAGUCAGUGGUGAAAGCCUACAGCUUAACUGUAGAAUUGCCAUUGAUACUGCUAUUCUUGAGUAUAGUUGAGGUGGGCGGAAUGUGGCAUGUAGCGGUGAAAUGCAUAGAUAUGCCACAGAACACCGAUUGCGAAGGCAACUCACUAAACUAUUACUGACGCUGAGGCACGAAAGCGUGGGUAGCGAACAGG
RNAcentral lists this ribosomal RNA (425 nucleotides) under uncultured bacterium. RNAcentral describes it as "bacterial SSU rRNA". It matches the Rfam family "Bacterial small subunit ribosomal RNA", at positions 354 to 776 of the family's 1533-position model. The record is from RNAcentral.